Molecule: ribosomal RNA, 440 nt
Filed under: uncultured bacterium
Lineage: Bacteria
Description: bacterial SSU rRNA
Rfam family: Bacterial small subunit ribosomal RNA
Source: RNAcentral
AACGCGAAGAACCUUACCUGGAUUUGACAUCCUCGGACAGCUGCAGAGAUGCAGUCUUCGUAGCAAUACGACCGGGAGACAGGUGCUGCAUGGCUGUCGUCAGCUCGUGUGGUGACAUGUUGGGUUAAGUCCCGCAACGAGCGCAACCCUUGUCCUUAGUUGCCAGCAUUCAGUUGGGCUCUCUAAGGAGACUGCCGUGGUGAACACGGAGGAAGGUGGGGAUGACGUCAAGUCCUCAUGGCCUUUAUAUCCAGGGCGACACACGUGAUACAAUGGACGGUACAGAGGGAAGCCAAAGCGCGAGCUGGAGCCAAUCUCAAAAAGCCGUUCUCAGUUCGGAUUGGAGUCUGCAACUCGACUCCAUGAAGUUGGAAUCGCUAGUAAUCGCGGAUCAGCACGCCGCGGUGAAUACGUUCCCGGGCCUUGUACACACCGCUGUA